UGAGGAAUAUUGGGCAAUGCUCGCAAGAGUGACCCAGCAACGCCGCGUGGAGGAUGAAUGCCGUAAGGUUGUAAACUCCUGUGAGAAGGGACGAAAGCGCAGGUUUGAAGCCUGCUUUGACUGUACCUUCAGAGGAAACCCCGGCUAACUACGUGCCAGCAGCCGCGGUAAUACGUAGGGGGUAAGCGUUGUCCGGAUUUACUGGGUGUAAAGGGCGCGUAGGCGGGCCCGUAAGUCAGAGGUGAAAUCCUACAGCUUAACUGUAGAGCUGCCUUUGAUACUGCGGGUCUUGAGUUCAGAAGAGAGAGAUGGAAUUCCAGGUGUAGUGGUGAAAUACGUAGAUAUCUGGAAGAACACCAGUGGCGAAGGCGAUCUCUUGGUCUGUAACUGACGCUGAGGCGCGAAAGCGUGGGUAGCAAACAGG
Molecule: ribosomal RNA, 424 nt
Filed under: uncultured prokaryote
Also listed under: 1 other name
Description: bacterial SSU rRNA
Rfam family: Bacterial small subunit ribosomal RNA
Source: RNAcentral